UGCCAGCCGCCGCGGUAACACGGGGGGCGCAAGCGUUAUUCGGAAUUAUUGGGCGUAAAGGGCGCGCGUAGGCGGACUAGUCAGUCAGAGGUGAAAUCCCAGGGCUCAACCCUGGACGUGCAUCCGAUACUGCGAAACUAGAAUCCCGGAGGGGGUGGCGGAAUUCCUGGUGUAGAGGUGAAAUUCGUAGAUAUCAGGAGGAACACCUGUGGCGAAGGCGGCCACCUGGACGGGUAUUGACGCUGAGACGCGAAAGCGUGGGUAGCAAACAGGAUUAGAAC
This 281-nucleotide ribosomal RNA is filed under the name uncultured bacterium. RNAcentral describes it as "partial 16S ribosomal RNA". It matches the Rfam family "Bacterial small subunit ribosomal RNA", at positions 506 to 784 of the family's 1533-position model. The record is from RNAcentral.